Molecule: unclassified non-coding RNA, 240 nt
Filed under: soil metagenome
Description: partial contains 5.8S ribosomal RNA, internal transcribed spacer 2, and large subunit ribosomal RNA
Source: RNAcentral
AACAAGGCGUACCUGCGGACCUGCGGAAGGAUCAUUAACGAGCGUAACCUACCCUUUUAAAAAAUGGGUGGUACCUCCCGUCCUUUGCGGGCCCCCUUCUUUUAUUAAGGGGGGGGCUUUUAAGACUUUCUGCUUCGGCGGGGUUAUUCCCGCCGGAACACCUUCAAAAAACUCUUGAUCAAAAAACUGUUCAGUCCGAGAAUUUUUGAAAAUUAAAACAAAACUUUCAACAACGGAUCU